RNAcentral lists this ribosomal RNA (459 nucleotides) under uncultured bacterium. RNAcentral's name for it is "partial 16S ribosomal RNA". It matches the Rfam family "Bacterial small subunit ribosomal RNA", at positions 338 to 795 of the family's 1533-position model. The record is from RNAcentral.
ACUACGGGAGGCAGCAGUGAGGAAUAUUGGUCAAUGGGCGGAAGCCUGAACCAGCCAAGUAGCGUGCGGGAUGAAGGCCCUACGGGUCGUAAACCGCUUUUGCACGGGGAUAACACCCUCCACUUGUGGAGGUCUGCAGGUACCGUGCGAAUAAGGGCCGGCUAAUUCCGUGCCAGCAGCCGCGGUAAUACGGAGGGCCCGGGGGUUAUCCGGAUUCGUUGGGGUAAAAGGGAGCGUAGGGGGGCGUUCAAGUUAGCUGUAAAAUCGCGCGGCUCAACCGCGCCCCGCAAUUGAAACUGGACGCCUUGAGUACACAACAGGCAGGCGGAAUUCGUGGUGUAGCGGUGAAAUGCAUAGAUAUCACGAGGAACCCCGAUUGCGAAGGCAGCCUGCCGGGGUGCGACUGACGCUGAGGCUCGAAGGUGUGGGUAUCAAACAGGAUUAGAUACCCCAGUAGUC